UACGAAGGGGGCGAGCGUUGUUCGGAUUUACUGGGCGUAAAGGGCGCGCAGGCGGCUUAUUUUGUCAGGCGUGAAAGCCCCGGGCUUAACCUGGGAACUGCGUUUGAUACGGAUGGGCUAGAGUUCGGGAGAGGAGAGUGGAAUUCCCAGUGUAGAGGUGAAAUUCGUAGAUAUUGGGAAGAACACCGGUGGCGAAGGCGGCCUGCUGGGCAGUAGCUGACGCUGAGGCUCGACAGCGUGGGGAGCAAACAGG
RNAcentral lists this ribosomal RNA (253 nucleotides) under uncultured bacterium. RNAcentral describes it as "partial 16S ribosomal RNA". It matches the Rfam family "Bacterial small subunit ribosomal RNA", at positions 524 to 776 of the family's 1533-position model. The record is from RNAcentral.